UACAGAGGUCUCGAGCGUUAGGCGGAAUCACUGGGCUUAAAGCGUGUGUAGGCGGAUCGGUAAGUACCUUGUGAAAUCCCACAGCUUAACUGUGGAACUGCUUGGUAUACUGCCAGUCUCGAGCCAGCUAGGGGCGACCGGAACAAAUGGUGGAGCGGUGAAAUGCGUAGAUAUCAUUUGGAACGCCAAUGGUGAAAACAGGUCGCUGGGGCUGUGCUGACGCUGAGACACGAAAGCCAGGGGAGCGAACGGG
Molecule: ribosomal RNA, 253 nt
Filed under: uncultured bacterium
Lineage: Bacteria
Description: partial 16S ribosomal RNA
Rfam family: Bacterial small subunit ribosomal RNA
Source: RNAcentral